RNAcentral lists this ribosomal RNA (957 nucleotides) under Aquitalea sp. RNAcentral describes it as "bacterial SSU rRNA". It matches the Rfam family "Bacterial small subunit ribosomal RNA", at positions 62 to 1014 of the family's 1533-position model. The record is from RNAcentral. Lineage: Bacteria; Pseudomonadati; Pseudomonadota; Betaproteobacteria; Neisseriales; Chromobacteriaceae.
UCGAACGGUAACAGGGAGACUUGCUCCGCUGACGAGUGGCGAACGGGUGAGUAAUGCGUCGGAACGUGCCGAGUAGUGGGGGAUAACUAUCCGAAAGGAUAGCUAAUACCGCAUACGCUUUGAGAAGGAAAGCAGGGGAUCGUAAGACCUUGCGCUAUUCGAGCGGCCGACGUCUGAUUAGCUAGUUGGUGAGGUAAGAGCUCACCAAGGCGACGAUCAGUAGCGGGUCUGAGAGGAUGAUCCGCCACACUGGGACUGAGACACGGCCCAGACUCCUACGGGAGGCAGCAGUGGGGAAUUUUGGACAAUGGGCGCAAGCCUGAUCCAGCCAUGCCGCGUGUCUGAAGAAGGCCUUCGGGUUGUAAAGGACUUUUGUCAGGGAGGAAAUCCCUAAGGUUAAUACCCUUGGGGGAUGACAGUACCUGAAGAAUAAGCACCGGCUAACUACGUGCCAGCAGCCGCGGUAAUACGUAGGGUGCAAGCGUUAAUCGGAAUUACUGGGCGUAAAGCGUGCGCAGGCGGUUGUGUAAGUCUGAUGUGAAAGCCCCGGGCUCAACCUGGGAACUGCAUUGGAGACUGCACGGCUAGAGUGCGUCAGAGGGGGGUAGAAUUCCGCGUGUAGCAGUGAAAUGCGUAGAGAUGCGGAGGAAUACCGAUGGCGAAGGCAGCCCCCUGGGAUGACACUGACGCUCAUGCACGAAAGCGUGGGGAGCAAACAGGAUUAGAUACCCUGGUAGUCCACGCCCUAAACGAUGUCAACUAGCUGUUGGGGGUUUGAAUCCUUGGUAGCGUAGCUAACGCGAGAAGUUGACCGCCUGGGGAGUACGGCCGCAAGGUUAAAACUCAAAGGAAUUGACGGGGACCCGCACAAGCGGUGGAUGAUGUGGAUUAAUUCGAUGCAACGCGAAAAACCUUACCUGGUCUUGACAUGUACGGAACUUGCCAGAGAUGGCUUGG